RNAcentral lists this non-coding RNA (148 nucleotides) under Pan troglodytes (chimpanzee). The record is from Rfam by way of RNAcentral. Lineage: Eukaryota; Metazoa; Chordata; Mammalia; Primates; Hominidae.
GCUGGGCGUGGUGGUGCAUGCCUGUAGUCCCAGCUACUAGGGAGGCUGAGGCAGAAGAAUCGCUUGAACCCAGGAGGCGGAGGUUGCAGUGAGCUGAGAUCCCGCCACUGCACUCCAGCCUGGGUGACAGAGCAAGACUCCGUCUCCA